RNAcentral lists this ribosomal RNA (1198 nucleotides) under Campylobacter jejuni. RNAcentral describes it as "partial 23S ribosomal RNA". It matches the Rfam family "Bacterial large subunit ribosomal RNA", at positions 1 to 1210 of the family's 2925-position model. The record is from RNAcentral. Lineage: Bacteria; Pseudomonadati; Campylobacterota; Epsilonproteobacteria; Campylobacterales; Campylobacteraceae.
GGUAAAAAAAAGGUAAGCUACUAAGAGCGAAUGGUGGAUGCCUUGACUGGUAAAGGCGAUGAAGGACGUACUAGACUGCGAUAAGCUACGGGGAGCUGUCAAGAAGCUUUGAUCCGUAGAUUUCCGAAUGGGGCAACCCAAUGUAUAGAGAUAUACAUUACCUAUAUAGGAGCGAACGAGGGGAAUUGAAACAUCUUAGUACYCUCAGGAAAAGAAAUCAAUAGAGAUUGCGUCAGUAGCGGCGAGCGAAAGCGCAAGAGGGCAAACCCAGUGCUUGCACUGGGGGUUGUAGGACUGCAAUGUGCAAGAGSURAGUUUAGCAGAACAUUCUGGAAAGUAUARCCAUAGAGGGUGAUAGUCCCGUAUGCGAAAAACAAASCUUAGCUAGCAGUAUCCUGAGUAGGGCGGGACACGAGRAAUCCUGUCUGAAUCCGGGUCGACCACGAUCCAACCCUAAAUACUAAUACCAGAUCGAUAGUGCACAAGUACCGUGAGGGAAAGGUGAAAAGAACUGAGGUGAUCAGAGUGAAAUAGAACCUGAAACCAUUUGCUUACAAUCAUUCAGAGCMCUAUGUAGCAAUACAGKGUGAUGGACUGCCUUUUGCAUAAUGAGCCUGCGAGUUGUGGUGUCUGGCAAGGUUAAGCAAACGCGAAGCCGUAGCGAAAGCGAGUCUGAAUAGGGCGCUUAGUCAGAUGCUGCAGACCCGAAACGAAGUGAUCUAUCCAUGAGCAAGUUGAAGCUAGUGUAAGAACUAGUGGAGGACUGAACCCAUAGGCGUUGAAAAGCCCCGGGAUGACUUGUGGAUAGGGGUGAAAGGCCAAUCAAACUUCGUGAUAGCUGGUUCUCUCCGAAAUAUAUUUAGGUAUAGCGUUGUGUCGUAAUAUAAGGGGGUAGAGCACUGAAUGGGCUAGGGCAUACACCAAUGUACCAAACCCUAUCAAACUCCGAAUACCUUAUAUGUAAUCACAGCAGUCAGGCGGCGAGUGAUAAAAUCCGUCGUCAAGAGGGAAACAACCCAGACUACCAGCUAAGGUCCCUAAAUCUUACUUAAGUGGAAAACGAUGUGAAGUUACUUAAACAACCAGGAGGUUGGCUUAGAAGCAGCCAUCCUUUAAAGAAAGCGUAAUAGCUCACUGGUCUAGUGAUUUUGCGCGGAAAAUAUAACGGGGCUAAAGUAAGUACCGAAGCUGUAGACUU